This 344-nucleotide unclassified non-coding RNA is filed under the name soil metagenome. Its description in RNAcentral is "partial contains 5.8S ribosomal RNA, internal transcribed spacer 2, and large subunit ribosomal RNA". The stretch from base 1 to 120 matches the Rfam family "5.8S ribosomal RNA", at positions 35 to 154 of the family's 154-position model. The record is from RNAcentral.
GAUGAAGAACGCAGCGAAAUGCGAUAAGUAAUGUGAAUUGCAGAAUUCAGUGAAUCAUCGAAUCUUUGAACGCACAUUGCGCCCGCCAGUGUUCUGGCGGGCAUGCCUGUUCGAGCGUCAUUUCAACCCUCAAGCCCCCGGGCUUGGUGUUGGGGAUCGGCGUGCCCUCGCGGCGCGCCGUCCCCUAAAUCUAGUGGCGGUCUCGCUGUAGCUUCCUCUGCGUAGUAGCAACACUCGCACUGGAGCGCAGCGCGGCCACGCCGUUAAACCCCCCACUUCUGAAAGUUUGACCUCGGAUCAGGUAGGAAUACCCGCUGAACUUAAGCAUAUCAAUAAGCGGAGGA